UACGAAGGGGGCUAGCGUUGCUCGGAAUCACUGGGCGUAAAGCGCACGUAGGCGGAUCUUUAAGUCAGAGGUGAAAUCCCAAGGCUCAACCUUGGAACUGCCUUUGAUACUGGGGAUCUCGAGUCCGGAAGAGGUGAGUGGAAUUCCUAGUGUAGAGGUGAAAUUCGUAGAUAUUAGGAAGAAAACAGUGGCGAAGGCGGCUCACUGGUCCGGUACUGACGCUGAGGCACGAAAGCGUGGGGAGCAAACAGG
Molecule: ribosomal RNA, 252 nt
Filed under: uncultured bacterium
Lineage: Bacteria
Description: partial 16S ribosomal RNA
Rfam family: Bacterial small subunit ribosomal RNA
Source: RNAcentral